UUCAUCACUCCUCCCUGCUCCAUUAUCAGAUAAGGUAACAAUGUGGGUCGACACACAAGUUAACUUCUCUUAGUACAUACAUUGCACACUUAUGUCAAUGUUCAUAUUUAAUAUAAGUAAUAUGUAUUAUACUUACGUAUGUUGUGGAUGAGCGCAUUGUUUGUUUGUUCUCUUCCUCUCUCUCUCUCUGUAGCUUCUGGGUAUGCUGGAUAAGGACCCAAGCUAAGGGAAUGGGAUGACUUUGUAGUGCCUGUCCCGAAUGGUGCACUAUCCUUCUGAACCUAUGCAGCCAGGUCCCAUCUACUUUUGAACUCCUCGCAACUGCAGAGGUCAAAACAACAACAAGCAUGUGCAGACCAUGCACAAGCUCCACCACAGUCUGGACCAUCACUUCCUGAACACAGGCCACACCAAGUUUGCCCCUGACUGGUGCUUCAGUCGCAUCAAGCAGCUGGUGUUGUGAAGGACAGCACUGUGACAGGGGUCGACAUCCCACAGCUGGUUGGACUGGAGGAUGGUACGGUGCUGGUGGAAAGCUAUGGCUGGCAACAACACCUGACUCCGUACUUCAGGCCGCUGACACAGUUUACAUUUACAUUUAAGUCAUUUAGCAGACGCUCUUAUCCAGAGCGACUUACAGUUCAAGCAGUACCAGCACUUCAGCUUCGGUGCUCUGGAGCCUGGUGUUGUUGUCACCAAGGAGCGUUCAAACUCAGUCGGGACCAGGUUUCAGCUGCUGCCCAAUGCUGACAUCCUUCCUCCAUAGAUGGUCUGCCUGUACAAGCACCACCUGGACUGGAAACAGCUAGACAAACUUGUGGUUUUGAGAAGAUCAGGGAGUUUUGCAAUGAAGAGGCUAUGGACGUCACAUGACCUGCCCCAAAGUCAAAAGGCAGGACAGAAACAGGAUUUCCAAACAUAGAUUCCCUUGUUCAUGCGUUGUUCGGAUGGACCAGUCAUCAGCACUAUCUGCAGUGCCUCUAUUCAAAUAACUCUCUCCUAUUCAAAUAACUCUCUCCUAAUACGUUGCUGAUACUACUUCUUUUUUUAUCCUGCUGCUCAGCCACUUAACCCCUGACUGUAUGCAUAUAAGACUACCUCAUCUAUCACUGAUAUUGAUAUUGUUCUUACUGUAUAUUAUUUUAUUUAUAUUGACACCAUCUAUUUCUGAUAUUGCUACUAUGCAAGUAACCAUUUGGCUGUACCAUUUACACCUUCUGUAGAGACCCAUCCACUUCGCAAGAUGUGGCUGGGGAUUGGUUAUAGAAUUUCUUUCACAUGACCCAUCAAUUUAGACAAGUGUGUCUGGGUAAGCGUCAGUCUGGACACUUUGUUUACCCUGAAUUUUUCCUUAUUGUAGGCUACUUCUUUUACCACUUUUAGUCUUCAUCUUUACUACACUACUCACUGUUUAGCACAUGAACUCACAUGUGAAUCCUUAAAGAGAUUGGUGGGGCUGGCUUAAGAGGGUGAACAAUGCUGAAUGGGUGGAGACAAAGGAGAGCUCUCCAGUAGGUACCAAAUCAUUCAAAGGCCAUUUUCUCAAAAGUGAGUUUACAAGUUAUUUGGUUGACGAUAUUUCUGAGAACAUUAAAGCCAGAUUAUCAAGUUAUUGAUAGUGUUGAAGUUUGUGACAUUAACACGUUGCCGUUCUCGUACCAGUGUGUAGUUAACAGAGUAUUCAACAAUAGCUGAAUCGGUUCGACUUCAAAAUAAAAGUACCACAUUGAAACUGUGAAACUGACCCAAAACGGAUACAAAUAGUGUUAUCAUUCCAUAAUUGGGUUAGAUCAUACUAAACAACUUUGGAAUGUUAUGUAAAUUCAACAAAAGACAAAUCAGUUCAUUCGAUUUUAAAAAAUAAGUGAAACUCAGUUGAAACCGCACUGUUCAGACUUCAGAAUUGCAUUGGGAGGCAUACUUAUUUGAACUGUACAGCAUAACCUAUGGAUUGUGAGCUAUGCAAUGUGGUAUCAGACUAGUGACACCCACAGAACAAAACUCUGAUUAUGGGUAAAAACAUUGUCCGACUUGUGCCUACAUGAAUUUGACAAAAAAUCAACUGAUCAAAGAUCAUGGAGUUUUCACUGCAGUCAACUGCAAGUUUCUGCAGUCUCUCUUCAGCAACUUCAUCCUGCAUUGUGGGUGGCUCUAUUGUCACACAAUCAUUAGGGUGUUUUUGUUUGACCUACCCGAACGUGACCAAAGACAUGACUGAAAGAGGAACCAACUUUGCACAAUACAUGUAUAAGGUGGAUAUGUUCAAAUUCACGUGAUGUGAGGUGCUCUCUCACCGAUUGAUUGUACAGUGUACACACAUAUUUUCAGUUUGUGAAUGCGUGAUGUGGGGGGGUUUGAGACGUUCAUUUCGACAUUAUAAAGAACACAUUUAAUAAACAAUGACAACACUGCAA
Molecule: long non-coding RNA, 2414 nt
Organism: Oncorhynchus nerka (sockeye salmon)
Lineage: Eukaryota; Metazoa; Chordata; Actinopteri; Salmoniformes; Salmonidae
Exons: 3
Source: RefSeq, a predicted model, not a curated record